RNAcentral lists this ribosomal RNA (497 nucleotides) under uncultured bacterium. Its description in RNAcentral is "partial 16S ribosomal RNA". It matches the Rfam family "Bacterial small subunit ribosomal RNA", at positions 28 to 507 of the family's 1533-position model. The record is from RNAcentral.
GACGAACGCUGGCGGCGUGCCUAAUACAUGCAAGUUGAGCGCUGAAGGUUGGUACUUGUACCAACUGGAUGAGCAGCGAACGGGUGAGUAACGCGUGGGGAAUCUGCCUUUGAGCGGGGGACAACAUUUGGAAACGAAUGCUAAUACCGCAUAAAAACUUUAAACACAAGUUUUAAGUUUGAAAGAUGCAAUUGCAUCACUCAAAGAUGAUCCCGCGUUGUAUUAGCUAGUUGGUGAGGUAAAGGCUCACCAAGGCGAUGAUACAUAGCCGACCUGAGAGGGUGAUCGGCCACAAUGGGACUGAGAAACGGCCCAAACUCCUACGGGAAGCAGCAGUAGGGAAACUUCGGCCAUGGACGGAAGUCUGACCGAGCAACGCCGCGGGGGUGAAGAAGGUUUUCGGAUCGUAAAACUCUGUUGGUAGAGAAGAACGUUGGUGAGAGUGGAAAGCUCAUCAAGUGACGGUAACUACCCAGAAAGGGACGGCUAACUACGUG